AGUGAACGCUGGCGGUAGGCCUAACACAUGCAAGUCGAACGGCAGCACAGUAAGAGCUUGCUCUUACGGGUGGCGAGUGGCGGACGGGUGAGGAAUACAUCGGAAUCUACUUUUUCGUGGGGGAUAACGUAGGGAAACUUACGCUAAUACCGCAUACGACCUACGGGUGAAAGCAGGGGAUCUUCGGACCUUGCGCGAUUGAAUGAGCCGAUGUCGGAUUAGCUAGUUGGCGGGGUAAAGGCCCACCAAGGCGACGAUCCGUAGCUGGUCUGAGAGGAUGAUCGGCCACACUAGAACGGGGACACGGUCCAGACUCCUACGGGAGGCAGCAGUGGGGAAUAGUGGACAAUGGGCGCAAGCCUGGUCCAGCCAUACCGCGUGGGUGAAGAAGGCCUUCGGGUUGUAAAGCCCUUUUGUUGGGAAAGAAAAGCAGCAGGUUAAUACCCCGCUGUUCUGACGGUACCCAAAGAAUAAGCACCGGCUAACUUCGUG
RNAcentral lists this ribosomal RNA (492 nucleotides) under uncultured bacterium. Its description in RNAcentral is "partial 16S ribosomal RNA". It matches the Rfam family "Bacterial small subunit ribosomal RNA", at positions 29 to 507 of the family's 1533-position model. The record is from RNAcentral.